AGCGGCGCACGGGUGAGUAACGCGUACAUGACCUACCUCUAAGACUGGGAUAGCCCUGGGAAACUGGGAUUAAUACCGGAUGUGAUAAUAUGUAUAGAGAUGUAUUAUUAAAGAUGAGUCGCUUAGAGAUGGGUGUGCGUAUGAUUAGCUAGUUGGUAGGGUAACGGCCUACCAAGGCGACGAUCAUUAGGGGGCGUGAGAGCGUGGCCCCCCACACGGGUACUGAGACACGGACCCGACUCCUACGGGAGGCAGCAGUAAGGAAUAUUGGUCAAUGGACGGAAGUCUGAACCAGCCAUCCCGCGUGCAGGAUGACUGCCCUAUGGGUUGUAAACUGCUUUUAGCAGAGACGAAACGCCUUCAUUUAUGGGGGUCUGACGGUAUCUGCAGAAUAAGCACCGGCUAACUCCGUGCCAGCAGCCGCGGUAAUACGGAGGGUGCAAGCGUUAUCCGGAAUCACUGGGUUUAAAGGGUGCGUAGGCGGGGAAUUAAGUCAGUGGUGAAAGCCUGUCGCUUAACGAUAGAAUUGCCAUUGAUACUGAUUUUCUUGAAUUGGGUUGAGGUUAGCGGAAUGUGACAUGUAGCGGUGAAAUGCAUAGAUAUGUCAUGGAACACCAAUUGCGAAGGCAGCUAGCUGGGCCUUGAUUGACGCUGAGGCACGAAAGCGUGGGUAGCGAACAGGAUUAGAUACCCUGGUAGU
RNAcentral lists this ribosomal RNA (700 nucleotides) under uncultured bacterium. RNAcentral's name for it is "bacterial SSU rRNA". It matches the Rfam family "Bacterial small subunit ribosomal RNA", at positions 94 to 794 of the family's 1533-position model. The record is from RNAcentral.